Populus euphratica (Euphrates poplar) is the source of this 260-nucleotide long non-coding RNA. RefSeq lists it as uncharacterized. NCBI's taxonomy places the organism in Eukaryota, Viridiplantae, Streptophyta, Magnoliopsida, Malpighiales, Salicaceae. The transcript is spliced from 2 exons. The record is from RefSeq and is a predicted model, not a curated record.
AGAGGUUGAAAAGCAAUACCAGAAGGGCCUUGAUUCGAUGGAAUGAUAGCCUCAACAGUCAUGCGAGAACCUGGAAGUCUAACUGCAGUGACAGUGCCAUGGGGUUAAUUUUAAGUUACAGCAACUUUUUAUAACUGUUCACAGAGUAGCUAUUUGGCUACAAUGAAUAUUUUUGGUUAGUAGGUUAUUCCUAAAGUAAUAUGUUUCUGCUGACAGUUAAAUACUAAUAAUAUUCCCACAUAUCUCUAGAUAUUUUGUUA